AUAUGUAUAUACAGUACAUAUAGGCUCCCUGCAUAUAUGUAUAUAUAGUAUAUAUAUGCAUUUAUGUAUAUAUAGGCUCCCUGCAUAUAUGUAUAUAUAGGUUCCCUGCAUAUAUGUAUAUACAGUACAUAUAGGCUCCCUGCAUAUAUGUAUAUAUAAUAUAUAGGCUCCCUGCAUAUAUGUAUAUAUAGUAUAUAUAGGCUCCCUGCAUAUAUGUAUAUAUAGUAUAUAUAGGCUCCCUGCAUAUAUGUAUAUACAGUAUAUAGGCUCCCUGCAUAUAUGUAUAUACAGUAUAUAUAGGCUCCCUGCAUAUAUGUAUAUAUAAUAUAUAGGCUCCCUGCAUAUAUGUAUAUAUAGUAUAUAUAGGCUCCCUGCAUAUAUGUAUAUACAGUAUAUAGGCUCCCUGCAUAUAUGUAUAUACA
This is a long non-coding RNA of Gasterosteus aculeatus aculeatus (three-spined stickleback), 422 nucleotides long. Lineage: Eukaryota; Metazoa; Chordata; Actinopteri; Perciformes; Gasterosteidae. The record is from Ensembl.